RNAcentral lists this ribosomal RNA (700 nucleotides) under uncultured bacterium. Its description in RNAcentral is "bacterial SSU rRNA". It matches the Rfam family "Bacterial small subunit ribosomal RNA", at positions 13 to 742 of the family's 1533-position model. The record is from RNAcentral.
UUGAUCCUGGCUCGAAUGAACGCUGGCGGCAGGCCUAACCAUGCAAGUCGAACGGAGUUAUAUUGUAGCUUGCUAUGGUAUAACUUAGUGGCAGACGGGUGAGUAAUGUAUAGGAAUCUACCUAGUAGUACGGAAUAAUUGUUGGAAACGGCAACUAAUACCGUAUACGCCCUACGGGGGAAAAAUUUAUUGCUAUUAGAUGAGCCUAUAUUAGAUUAGCUAGUUGGUGGAGUAAUAGCCUACCAAGGCAAUGAUCUAUAGCUGAUCUGAGAGGAUGAUCAGCCACACUGGAACUGAGAUACGGUCCAGACUCCUACGGGAGGCAGCAGUGGGGAAUAUUGGACAAUGGGCGAAAGCCUGAUCCAGCCAUGCCGCAUGAGUGAAGAAGGCCUUUGGGUUGUAAGGCUCUUUUAGUGAGGAAGAUAAUGACGGUACUCACAGAAGAAGUCCUGGCUAACUCCGUGCCAGCAGCCGCGGUAAUACGGAGAGGGCUAGCGUUAUUCGGAAUUAUUGGGCGUAAAGGGCGCGUAGGCGGAUUAGUAAGUUAAAAGUGAAAUCCCAAGGCUCAACCUUGGAAUUGCUUUUAAAACUGCUAAUCUAGAGAUUGAAAGAGGAUAGAGGAAUUCCUAGUGUAGAGGUGAAAUUCGUAAAAUAUUAGGAGGAACACCAGUGGCGAAAGCGUCUAUCUGGUUCAAAUCUG